GCGCAAGCCUGACGGAGCAAGACCGCGUGAGGGAGGAAGGCUCUUGGGUUGUAAACCUCUUUUAUCAGGGAAGAAGAUCUGACGGUACCUGAUGAAUCAGCAUCGGCUAACUCCGUGCCAGCAGCCGCGGUAAUACGGAGGAUGCAAGCGUUAUCCGGAUUUAUUGGGCGUAAAGCGUCCGCAGGUGGUUUUUCAAGUCUGCUGUUAAAGCGCAGAGCUUAACUCUGUAACGGCGGUGGAAACUGAGAGACUAGAGUAUGGUAGGGGUUGCGGGAAUUCCCAGUGUAGCGGUGAAAUGCGUAGAUAUUGGGAAGAACACCAGCGGCGAAAGCGCGCAACUGGGCCAUUACUGACACUCAUGGACGAAAGCUAGGGGAGCGAAAGGGAUUAGAUACCCCUGUAGUCCUAGCUGUAAACGAUGGGUACUAGGUGUUGACCGUAUCGACCCGGUCAGUGCCGUAGCUAACGCGUUAAGUACCCCGCCUGGGGAGUAUGCACGCAAGUGUGAAACUCAAAGGAAUUGACGGGGGCCCGCACAAGCGGUGGAGUAUGUGGUUUAAUUCGAUGCAACGCGAAGAACCUUACCAGGGCUUGACAUGUCGCGAAUCUCGGUGAAAGUCGAGAGUGCCUUCGGGAGCGCGAACACAGGUGGUGCAUGGCUGUCGUCAGCUCGUGUCGUGAGAUGUUGGGUUAAGUCCCGCAACGAGCGCAACCCUCGUUUUUAGUUGCCAGCAUUUAGUUGGGCACUCUAGAGAGACUGCCGGUGACAAACCGGAGGAAGGUGGGGAUGACGUCAAGUCAGCAUGCCCCUUACGUCCUGGGCUACACACGUACUACAAUGCUUCGGACAAAGGGUUGCGAGCUAGCGAUAGCAAGCUAAUCCCGUAAACCGAGGCUCAGUUCAGAUUGCAGGCUGCAGCUCGCCUGCAUGAAGGAGGAAUCGCUA
This 946-nucleotide ribosomal RNA is filed under the name uncultured bacterium. Its description in RNAcentral is "bacterial SSU rRNA". It matches the Rfam family "Bacterial small subunit ribosomal RNA", at positions 375 to 1337 of the family's 1533-position model. The record is from RNAcentral.